UACGUAGGGUGCAAGCGUUAAUCGGAAUUACUGGGCGUAAAGCGUGCGCAGGCGGUUGUGUAAGACAGAUGUGAAAUCCCCGGGCUUAACCUGGGAACUGCGUUUGUGACUGUAGGACUCGAGUGUGGCAGAGGGGGGCGGAAUUCCACGUGUAGCAGUGAAAUGCGUAGAGAUGUGGAGGAACACCGAUGGCGAAGGCAGCCCCCUGGGUCAACACUGACGCUCAUGCACGAAAGCGUGGGGAGCAAACAGG
Molecule: ribosomal RNA, 253 nt
Filed under: uncultured bacterium
Lineage: Bacteria
Description: partial 16S ribosomal RNA
Rfam family: Bacterial small subunit ribosomal RNA
Source: RNAcentral